CCCGGCGACCGGCGCACGGGUGAGUAACACGUAUGAAACCUGCCCGUAGCAGGGGGAUAACCGGGAGAAAUCCCGACUAAUACCGCGUAACGCCGCGGACCUGCAUGGGUCUGCGGCCAAAGGAAGCGAUUCCGGCAGGGGAUGGGCAUGCGGCGCAUUAGCUAGUCGGCGGGGUAACGGCCCACCGAGGCGACGAUGCGUAGGGGUUCUGAGAGGAAGGUCCCCCACACUGGUACUGAGACACGGACCAGACUCCUACGGGAGGCAGCAG
RNAcentral lists this ribosomal RNA (271 nucleotides) under uncultured bacterium. RNAcentral describes it as "partial 16S ribosomal RNA". It matches the Rfam family "Bacterial small subunit ribosomal RNA", at positions 87 to 354 of the family's 1533-position model. The record is from RNAcentral.